This 254-nucleotide ribosomal RNA is filed under the name uncultured bacterium. RNAcentral's name for it is "partial 16S ribosomal RNA". It matches the Rfam family "Archaeal small subunit ribosomal RNA", at positions 474 to 727 of the family's 1478-position model. The record is from RNAcentral.
UACCAGCACCCCGAGUGGUCGGGACGAUUAUUGGGCCUAAAGCAUCCGUAGCCGGUCCUGCAAGUCUUCCGUUAAAUCCAGCCGCUCAACGGUUGGGCUGCGGAGGAUACUACGUGGCUAGGAGGCGGGAGAGGCAAGCGGUACUCAGUGGGUAGGGGUAAAAUCCGUUGAUCCAUAGAAGACCACCAGUGGCGAAGGCGGCUUGCCAGAACGCGCUCGACGGUGAGGGAUGAAAGCUGGGGGGAGCAAACCGG